CUGCUGUCUAGCACCAUGUAAUGACCUAUCCAGGGGGCUGUAAUGCCUUUUCUGUUUAGCGUAAUGCCGUUAAGCUAUACACCGUCAGCAACCACUGUACUGCAACUUAUAAUAGGGAGAGACGGUCCACGGUCUCCCAGCUUUGUUACACCACGGCCAGAAAACAGCGCAAUAUAGAUCAAACAUUCUGCUUGUUCUGCUUGUGAAAUAUGAUUUCAUUUCAUUCAGGGAAAAAACAUUGGGGAUAAAGAGAAAUUCCUAUAUUUCCGGUGUUUCACUAUUUGACCUCACAAAAGAAUGAUCCUGUGGGUUUUUAUGUUUUGUUUUCCUCUGCCGGCCACAGCAUAUUGUACUGCAGAGGCCACUCACAUGUACCAUAAUGUGUGUUCUUCAACGCACAGCUUGACUCAACAUCGUUUUUCUCUCUCGUCUGCAUUCUGUUGUCUCAGGUUUGAGGAGAGAGGGGAGACAGGAGGCGAAAAGGGGUUCCCGGUAGCGUUUUCAUCAAAGGCUUUUCCGUCAGCACUUCAGAGUGGCCGUCAGUAUGGAAAUGUGUUGUGCUGCCUGGAAAGCUGUCAGAGAACACAUAUCUUGGAUGGGACCCUGCUAAUUCAACUGGGCUCCUGUCGGCUAUGUUCUCUGGUCCCCUCAUUAUGCACUGUGAGAUGGUAAAAAGAAUGUAGGCCUAGAGAUGAACAAGGAAGACUUGAGGAAGGUGACAAUUGAAUAUGUUUACUUGUGACGGGAGAUGUGCAGGUGAGAAGAGACUUCACUUGACUGGGCCGCUCCAGGGUAAACACACACACACACACACACACACAGUUGUAAGGAGGCCAUUAACUGACAGCCUAGUUCCUGCUCUGCUCUCCAGGUUGAACGACAAAAGAAAAAAAAACAACAACAUGAAAUUCCAAAUACUUAGAUCAAAGAAGAAUAAAUAAACCAGUAACACGAGCAUGUUGACUGUCAGAAAAGAGCAUUUGACUAUUCAAAAUAACACCUUCUUCUUGGGGCCACUUCCUGUCAUGACAUUUGUACUUUGAGCAGAACUGGAGAAUAUUGUAGGUUUUUAAUAGGUCGCCAAAAAAAAAAGAUAAAGCUAAAUACAUUCUGAAAUAUAUGAUGCUUUGAGUUUAUGUCUGUGGUCUUGUUUUAAACAUUAUUCAGUAGCAAAGACAUUCGGUUGCGGUUUUAUUUCAUGUUUAUGUGACAAUAUGAACAAUGCAUUAUAUUGAGUAUUUGUAUAGAUGGGUUAGCUGACAACGUUACCAAAAGAACGAUGUGCAGGCUUCAAUGGGGCUGAAGUCUGGGAGGUGUUAUAUUCCUGGAGGGACAGAUAGAUACCAACAAUGAGAAGAAGAAAAUUGUGGGGAAUCGUAAGUGACUCGUUUCAGCUAGUUUCAUCUUGUUCUUGAUGCCAUGUCUUGUUUUGAGAUGUUUUGAUUCAUUUCAUGUCAAUGCUAAUGUGGUUAAAAUUCACUAGCUAGCUAACCAACAACUGUAACCAUGUAUUUGAGAGACAACAAGUGGUUAUUGUGAACAUUUAUUUCUGUUUUCAAUCAACACUGGAGACUAAAUAUAGCUGACAUGUUGUCAACAGUCUAAGCCAACCCUGUCUGUUCGUCACCAUAGUGUUACGCACGUCGGUUUUGUUGCUAAACAACCAACCCGUCUAUAAUCAAAUGAUGAAACGUGCAUUUUGACAAACAGGAAUAAGCAUGUCUUUGGCAUGUUUAGAUGUAUAAGGAUAGAGCCAGCUCUCAGCCAGCUCUGGGCCGUUGUGC
This 1784-nucleotide long non-coding RNA is filed under the name Salmo salar (Atlantic salmon). RNAcentral describes it as "lncRNA (ENSSSAG00000087029.1)". The record is from RNAcentral. Lineage: Eukaryota; Metazoa; Chordata; Actinopteri; Salmoniformes; Salmonidae.